GAUGAACGCUGGCGGCGCGCCUAACACAUGCAAGUCGAACGGUUAAAGCACCUUUUAGGUGUGUAUAAAGUGGCGAACGGCUGAGUAACACGUGGGCAACCUGCCCUCCUCUUGGGGAUGGCCUCGGGAAACCGAGGAUAAUACCCGAUACUUCAAUGUGGCCGCAUGGCGACAUUGAGAAAGCUUUUGCGGAGAAGGAUGGGCCCGCGGCCUGUUAGCUUGUUGGUGGGGUAGAGGCCUACCAAGGCAAUGAUGGGUAGCUGGGUUGAGAGACCGACCAGCCAGAUUGGGACUGAGACACGGCCCAGACUCCUACGGGAGGCAGCAGUGGGGAAUCUUGCACAAUGGGCGAAAGCCUGAUGCAGCGACGCCGCGUGCGGGAAGAAGGCCUUCGGGUUGUAAACCGCUUUCAGCAGGGACGAGGCGAAAGUGACGUACCUGCAGAAGAGCCCC
Molecule: ribosomal RNA, 453 nt
Filed under: Lancefieldella rimae
Lineage: Bacteria; Bacillati; Actinomycetota; Coriobacteriia; Coriobacteriales; Atopobiaceae
Description: bacterial SSU rRNA
Rfam family: Bacterial small subunit ribosomal RNA
Source: RNAcentral